UUCCGGUUGAUCCUGCCGGAGGACAUUGCUAUUGGGAUUCGAUUUAGCCAUGCUAGUCGAACGAGUUCAGACUCGUGGCGAAUAGCUCAGUAACACGUGGCCAAGCUCCCCUUCAGUCAGCGAUACCCUCGGGAAACUGAGGUUAACAGCUGAUACAAAACGCCAGCUGGAAUGCGGCGUUUCAGAAAGACAUCGCUGAAGGAUGCGGCUGCGGCCGAUUAGGUAGACGGUGGGGUAACGGCCCACCGUGCCAGUAAUCGGUACGGGUGAUGAGAGUCAGAGCCCGGAGACGGAAUCUGAGACAAGAUUCCGGGCCCUACGGGGCGCAGCAGGCGCGAAACCUUUACACUGCACGGGAGUGCGAUAGGGGAAUCCCAAGUGCGAGGGCAUAUUAGCCCUCGCUUUUCUCGACUGUAAGGUGGUCGACGAAUAAGAGCUGGGCAAGACCGGUGCCAGCCGCCGCGGUAAUACCGGCAGCUCAAGUGAUGUCCCAUAUUAUUGGGCCUAAAGCGUCCGUAGCUGGCCGACCAAGUCUACCGGGAAAUCCACCCGCCCAACGGGUGGGCGUCCGGUAGAAACUGGCCGGCUUGGAACCGGAAGGCUCAGAGAGUACGUCCGGGGUAGGAGUGAAAUCCCGUAAUCCCGGACGGACUACCGAUGGCGAAAGCACUCCGAGAAGACGGCUUCGACAGUGAGGGACGAAAGCUCGGGUCUCAAACCGGAUUAGAUACCCGGGUAGUC
This 741-nucleotide ribosomal RNA is filed under the name uncultured archaeon. RNAcentral's name for it is "bacterial SSU rRNA". It matches the Rfam family "Archaeal small subunit ribosomal RNA", at positions 1 to 746 of the family's 1478-position model. The record is from RNAcentral.